CUUGCCAAUGCUUUGAGCAGUUAUACACAUGGGAUAAAAUAAUAUUGGGCCAUUGUAAAUGGAGAUGAAAUGAGUGUCAUCUCUCCUACGCAGUCUAGACAUUG
Small nucleolar RNA from Oryctolagus cuniculus (rabbit), 104 nucleotides. The record is from Ensembl. Lineage: Eukaryota; Metazoa; Chordata; Mammalia; Lagomorpha; Leporidae.